This 385-nucleotide ribosomal RNA is filed under the name marine copepod environmental sample. Its description in RNAcentral is "SSU rRNA". It matches the Rfam family "Eukaryotic small subunit ribosomal RNA", at positions 587 to 972 of the family's 1831-position model. The record is from RNAcentral. Lineage: Eukaryota; Metazoa; Arthropoda; Copepoda.
AGCUCCAAUAGCGUAUAUUAAAGUUGUUGUGGUUAAAAAGCUCGUAGUUGGAUCUCGGCGGACUGAGGGCGGUUCGCUUGAUUGAGUGCUACUGCUUUGUAGGCUGGGCUUUUGCUGGAGGAUUAGGGGGGCUCUUGAUCGAGUGUCUCUGGAUGCCAGCAGGUUUACUUUGAAAAAAUUAGAGUGCUCAAAGCAGGCUAAAAUGCCUGAAUAUUCGUGCAUGGAAUAAUAGAAUAGGAUGUCGAUCCUAUUUUGUUGGUUUUCGGGACUCGACAUAAUGAUAAAUAGGGACAGUCGGGGGCAUUUGUAUUCAAACGACAGAGGUGAAAUUCUUGGACCGUUUGAAGACAAACUACUGCGAAAGCAUUUGCCAAGAAUGUUUUCA